UGGGGAAUCUUGCACAAUGGGGGAAACCCUGAUGCAGCGACGCCGCGUGAACGAUGAAGCCCUUCGGGGUGUAAAGUUCUUUCGACAGGAACGAUAAUGACGGUACCUGGAGAAGAAGCUGCGGCUAACUACGUGCCAGCAGCCGCGGUAAUACGUAGGCAGCGAGCGUUGUUCGGAGUUACUGGGCGUAAAGAGUGCGUAGGCGGCGAGCCAAGUUUGGUGUGAAAUCUCCCGGCUUAACCGGGAGGGUGCGCCGAAAACUGGUUGGCUGGAGUAUGGGAGAGGAUAGCGGAAUUCCUGGUGUAGCGGUGAAAUGCGUAGAUAUCAGGAGGAACACCGGCGGUGUAGACGGCUUGCUAGACCAUAACUGACGCUGAGGCACGAAAGCGUGGGUAGCAAACA
This 402-nucleotide ribosomal RNA is filed under the name uncultured bacterium. Its description in RNAcentral is "bacterial SSU rRNA". It matches the Rfam family "Bacterial small subunit ribosomal RNA", at positions 355 to 774 of the family's 1533-position model. The record is from RNAcentral.